This 1353-nucleotide ribosomal RNA is filed under the name uncultured bacterium. Its description in RNAcentral is "16S ribosomal RNA". It matches the Rfam family "Bacterial small subunit ribosomal RNA", at positions 31 to 1381 of the family's 1533-position model. The record is from RNAcentral.
GAACGCUGGCGGCGUGCCUAAUACAUGCAAGUAGAACGCUGAAGGAGGAGCUUGCUUCUCUGGAUGAGUUGCGAACGGGUGAGUAACGCGUAGGUAACCUGCCUAGUAGUGGGGGGUAGCUCGGGGAAACUCGAAUUAAUACCGCAUACGACCUACGGGUGAAAGGGGGCGCAAGCUCUUGCUAUUAGAUGAGCCUAAAUCAGAUUAGCUAGUUGGUGGGGUAAAGGCCCACCAAGGCGACGAUCUGUAACUGGUCUGAGAGGAUGAUCAGUCACACCGGAACUGAGACACGGUCCGGACUCCUACGGGAGGCAGCAGUGGGGAAUAUUGGACAAUGGGGGCAACCCUGAUCCAGCCAUGCCGCGUGUGUGAAGAAGGCCUUUUGGUUGUAAAGCACUUUAAGCAGGGAGGAGAGGCUAAUGGUUAAUACCCAUUAGAUUAGACGUUACCUGCAGAAUAAGCACCGGCUAACUCUGUGCCAGCAGCCGCGGUAAUACAGAGGGUGCGAGCGUUAAUCGGAAUUACUGGGCGUAAAGCGAGUGUAGGUGGCUCAUUAAGUCACAUGUGAAAUCCCCGGGCUUAACCUGGGAACUGCAUGUGAUACUGGUGGUGCUAGAAUAUGUGAGAGGGAAGUAGAAUUCCAGGUGUAGCGGUGAAAUGCGUAGAGAUCUGGAGGAAUACCGAUGGCGAAGGCAGCUUCCUGGCAUAAUAUUGACACUGAGAUUCGAAAGCGUGGGUAGCAAACAGGAUUAGAUACCCUGGUAGUCCACGCCGUAAACGAUGUCUACUAGCCGUUGGGGUCCUUGAGACUUUAGUGGCGCAGUUAACGCGAUAAGUAGACCGCCUGGGGAGUACGGCCGCAAGGUUAAAACUCAAAUGAAUUGACGGGGGCCCGCACAAGCGGUGGAGCAUGUGGUUUAAUUCGAUGCAACGCGAAGAACCUUACCUGGUCUUGACAUAGUGAGAAUCCUGCAGAGAUGCGGGAGUGCCUUCGGGAAUUCACAUACAGGUGCUGCAUGGCUGUCGUCAGCUCGUGUCGUGAGAUGUUGGGUUAAGUCCCGCAACGAGCGCAACCCUUUUCCUUAUUUGCCAGCGGGUUAAGCCGGGGACUUUAAGGAUACUGCCAGUGACAAACUGGAGGAAGGCGGGGACGACGUCAAGUCAUCAUGGCCCUUACGACCAGGGCUACACACGUGCUACAAUGGUAGGUACAGAGGGUUGCUACACAGCGAUGUGAUGCUAAUCUCAAAAAGCCUAUCGUAGUCCGGAUUGGAGUCUGCAACUCGACUCCAUGAAGUCGGAAUCGCUAGUAAUCGCAGAUCAGAAUGCUGCGGUGAAUACGUUCCCGGGCCU